AAACUUAGGAUAAUAUCUAAACCAAA
RNAcentral lists this transfer RNA (26 nucleotides) under Purpureicephalus spurius (red-capped parrot). Its description in RNAcentral is "partial tRNA-Trp". Lineage: Eukaryota; Metazoa; Chordata; Aves; Psittaciformes; Psittacidae. The record is from RNAcentral. RNAcentral also lists the same sequence under 1 other name.